UUCCUGGCCGCCGAGAGCAGCUCCGGCUGCGCUGGUGCAACUGAAAACCGAUCGUCGCCCGAAGUUUUUUUUUUCCUUCGCUGUGAAAGCGAGACAGUUCUGGGGAAGGCAAAUCGCCACCUGCAUCACCGACGCCAGCGACAACUGACGAACAAGCAAGGACCGAGGGGGCGUCUCCCCGCAUUUGGCAGCAGCGGCAGCCACCGGCACGCACGACAAGUGAAAUCUACUCUGUAUAUUUACAGCGUCCUUCGCCUGUGGACCAAAGUUCCUGGCCGCCGAGAGCAGCUCCGGCUGCGCUGGUGCAACUGAAAACCGAUCGUCGCCCGAAGUUUUUUUUUUCCUUCGCUGUGAAAGCGAGACAGUUCUGGGGAAGGCAAAUCGCCACCUGCAUCACCGACGCCAGCGACAACUGACGAACAAGCAAGGACCGAGGGGGCGUCUCCCCGCAUUUGGCAGCAGCGGCAGCCACCGGCACGCACGACAAGUGAAAUCUACUCUGUAUAUUUACAGCGUCCUUCGCCUGUGGACCAAAGUUCCUGGCCGCCGAGAGCAGCUCCGGCUGCGCUGGUGCAACUGAAAACCGAUCGUCGCCCGAAUUUUUUUUUUCCUUCGCUGUGAAAGCGAGACAGUUCUGGGGAAGGCAAAUCGCCACCUGCAUCACCGACGCCAGCGACAACUGACGAACAAGCAAGGACCGAGGGGGCGUCUCCCCGCAUUUGGCAGCAGCGGCAGCCACCGGCACGCACGACAAGUGAAAUCUACUCUGUAUAUUUACAGCGUCCUUCGCCUGUGGACCAAAGUUCCUGGCCGCCGAGAGCAGCUCCGGCUGCGCUGGUGCAACUGAAAACCGAUCGUCGCCCGAAGUUUUUUUUUUCCUUCGCUGUGAAAGCGAGACAGUUCUGGGGAAGGCAAAUCGCCACCUGCAUCACCGACGCCAGCGACAACUGACGAACAAGCAAGGACCGAGGGGGCGUCUCCCCGCAUUUGGCAGCAGCGGCAGCCACCGGCACGCACGACAAGUGAAAUCUACUCUGUAUAUUUACAGCGUCCUUCGCCUGUGGACCAAAGUUCCUGGCCGCCGAGAGCAGCUCCGGCUGCGCUGGUGCAACUGAAAACCGAUCGUCGCCCGAAUUUUUUUUUUCCUUCGCUGUGAAAGCGAGACAGUUCUGGGGAAGGCAAAUCGCCACCUGCAUCACCGACGCCAGCGACAACUGACGAACAAGCAAGGACCGAGGGGGCGUCUCCCCGCAUUUGGCAGCAGCGGCAGCCACCGGCACGCACGACAAGUGAAAUCUACUCUGUAUAUUUACAGGUUGGUCGUCUUUACUAAUAAGGAUUAGACUCUUUUUUUGUUGCCGACCCUGCCGCUGCUGCCACGAGUACAUUGUUUUCCUGAAGUGUAUUUGCCUUUGCACCGCACGACAUGUCGAGAUGUUGUACAUGCCGCUCGCUCGUGCCUGAAA
This 1466-nucleotide long non-coding RNA is filed under the name Dermacentor andersoni. RNAcentral describes it as "uncharacterized LOC126534831". Lineage: Eukaryota; Metazoa; Arthropoda; Arachnida; Ixodida; Ixodidae. The record is from RNAcentral.